CCCAGCACUGGGCUGGGUCCUCUGAAAGAAAUCCCGUAAAACCUCAAGGAGCUCACAGGCUGGAAUAUUCUUUCACAGGCAAGCAAGGACCCAGGGCUGUGCUCAAGCUGGGCUACAAGGGCUGGACCAGGGUCUGGGGUUGGGCAUAGGUUGGGCUGACUUGCAGUUGCUGGCCUUGGAGAAAGGAGAAGCAAAGCCACUGUGAUUGGAGGAAGGAGAUUCAGGAAGCAAGGACAGCUCUUAGUGUCAGUUCCAAUGGUUGGGUAUGAGAAAGAGGGAGUAAAAACUGGGGCUUCAAGAAGGCAGGGACUAUAGUUGUAUUUCCUCCCAGUGUAUUCACAGUGCAUCUGGUUCACCAAAGACUCUCAAGGUGACUUCAUCCAUGGCGGCUGUGUGGCAGCGAGCUACUUGCGCAUCUCUUCUGUUCCGUGAGGUCAUGUUGGCAGCUUGAAAUUGAUCAAGUGGGAAGCAUUUACAUCACAGAAAUUGAUACCAUGAAAGGAUUUGAGCGUUUUUUUAUGUGAAUCCAAAGAUGACAUUUACAAAAGGUGGAGAAGCAGUUCCCUACUGAGGGACGUGGAUACAAAAAGCAGAUGACACAACACAUCCCAUAGAGUUCCCAGGGAAGAAUGAACCCAGAUUCUUGACCUGCAGAGGUGGCGUACUGGCUGGAGAAAUCUCUGGCUGGCGACCGUGCUAUUCUGUCUGUCCACCUAACUGUGGGCUCCCAGAUCACCACUGCCAUGGGCAGGGGGCCGUGGGGUGGGCCUGCUUGGGGUGACAGGCUAGCUGUGCUCCCAUAGCAGAGGUGGGAGAAGGGAAUCACAUCUGGUGAGCAGCUAUGUCGUGCCAGGCACUGUGCUGUGUAUUGCACACAUCUCAAACCUUGUGACAAAUGUGUAAGAUAUUUUUUAUGUAUUACAAAUGAAGGAACUGGGCUCAGAAAAGCUCCAUUAUUUGCCCAAAUUGCAGCAGUAAUGCAGGAAUUUGAAUCCACAUUAAUCUGACUCCACAACCCAUGUUCUUUCACUGAAUUCCCAUAUCCUUGUUCCCCCUACUGUCCUCACUGGUCAAGGUGAGCUUGGUCUUCCACAAACAGGCUAGAAAAGUAUGCUUACUUAUCUUUAGCUUUAUGCUUUUAAACUAAUUCUUAAAAAUCUUCUCUGGAUAAGUCAAAGACAAUGGGAAUGUGUAUUUCUAAUACAUUAAUUAUAAUACAUUACCGGUUUACACAAUGCCAUCACCUUGUCAUUUUCUUUGACACAACGUCCCCCUCCCCUCUAGUUUAUAAAUGAGGACAUUGAGGCACAAAGUGGGUAAGUGACUUGCCCAAGGGGGAGAUUUGUCCAAUCAUAAAGAUGGGCCUGAACUUUUUCUACUUUGCAUUCUUACUUGAAAGGCAGGAAACAUAUGCUCAAGAGGGAGAUCUCACGAAAUUUCAUGUCAUAUAGUGCUCUCGCUAAUUUAAUCCUGUCAUUCCUGGUUAUAUCCCUUUGGAAAAACCACCACCAGUGCCUUCUCUUUUGAUAUAUUUACAGUAAAAAUAUUCCCUGUACAAACCAUCUCACUCUUUCACAGGGAACUGGCUUGGCCCUCUCCCCUGAAGUGGGUUGCACAUCCACCCAGCCCACCCCCAGCUCACUCUAGCUCCCUUCCUGUUAGAAUUUAUUCAGAACCUCCAUUUCUAGGAGGAAGCAAGGAGGGGGCAGUUAUCUUCGUGGACUUGGGUCCUCCUGGACCCUUUGUCCUCAUGGUUAUGUUUCAAACAGAGUUGAGGGCUCCCUAAAGGGGAAAGAUUAUUUAAGUUUUGUAAAUGCUGCCCUCCAAAAACCACUCCACAUAAAUGUUUCAUGGCUUAGCCUCUGUGAGGCCAGAGCUGGAACAUUCAGCUGUGAGGGUGUUUAUAUUUGUGGAACUCUCUUGAACAUUUGCUGUGGGUUUUAAACAGCUGCUAUGCUGAAGCUCUGGGGAUAGGAAGAUCAUGAAUAUUCAGGUGAAGCCACCAGAAUGAACAGCCGUUAAUAGAAUAAAUGCCUAAACAGUUGUGUAAGGCUUAUUAAGACCUAUUGGGGCUGAGAUAAUAAAUUCCCACUCUGACAUGUUGCAACUACUGUCGCUUAAACACUUUGGACCACCUCUUCUGAACUGAAGGAAAAAAUGAUGUUAGUUCUCUGCGCGAAUACAAAGAAACACCUGGAAGCCUUGGCAAGGGGAUGAGAUUUGGCAGAGAUCUUUCCGUGUACCGAUGCAUCCUCAGGAAAAUGAUGUGCCGCUCAUUGUUCCUGUUGUCAAGGUUAUCGCAGUCGACUUCAGGCUGGAACGGGCAUUGCUCUUGCACUGAAGAAAGUCUGUCCUGACUCCCUCAGAGUGCCUCAACAUCAACCAAGAGCCACCGUGAACCUCUGGGGCACUGAGCCUGGCCACCAGCACCCCCACCCCAGCCCAUAUGGCCUGGGCCUCUCCCUUGAUGUUUAAAGGAGAUGAUAAAAAUGCUGCAACCCAGAUAAUGAUCACCUUACUCUUCAAAAAUACUGCCCAAGUUCUUUGUUCAAGAUGCCAAGAACCUGGAUACCCUCCACUGGUAACAAAUAUGACUUUGUUUUUAGCAAGCAACUUUGCAGUGUAAUUAAGUUAAGGAUCUUGAGAUGAGAUCAUCUUGGAAUAUCUGGGUGGGCCCUAAAUCCAAUGACAAGUGUCCUCAUAGGAAGGGAAGAUACACACAGAGGAGAAGGUGGUGUGAAGAUGGAAGCCAAGACUGUUGAUACCAGUUGGAGAGCACCAAGAACUACCCGCAGCCACUGAAAGCUAGGAGAGAGGCAUAGGACUGUCUCCUUCAGACCCUCCAGAAAGACCAAACCUGCCCGUGCCUUGAUUUCAGACUUUUGGCCUCCCACAUUGUGAGAGAAUAAAAUUUUGUUUUUGAAGCCAU
This 2929-nucleotide long non-coding RNA is filed under the name Homo sapiens (human). RNAcentral describes it as "HSALNT0007893". The record is from RNAcentral. Lineage: Eukaryota; Metazoa; Chordata; Mammalia; Primates; Hominidae.